Molecule: microRNA precursor, 62 nt
Filed under: Pristionchus pacificus
Lineage: Eukaryota; Metazoa; Nematoda; Chromadorea; Rhabditida; Neodiplogasteridae
Description: microRNA ppc-mir-8264 precursor
Source: miRBase by way of RNAcentral
UUUGUUGAGGUCUUGGGCUAGUAAAAAUAAGAUGAUUACAGGGAGGAGUACAACAAGCUGUU